This 396-nucleotide ribosomal RNA is filed under the name Theileria sp. OT3. RNAcentral's name for it is "SSU rRNA". It matches the Rfam family "Eukaryotic small subunit ribosomal RNA", at positions 503 to 925 of the family's 1831-position model. Lineage: Eukaryota; Apicomplexa; Aconoidasida; Piroplasmida; Theileriidae. The record is from RNAcentral.
AUGUAAUUGGAAUGAUGGGAAUUUAAACCUCUUCCAGAGUAUCUCUCUGGAGGGCAAGUCUGAUGCCAGCAGCCGCGGUAAUUCCAGCUCUCUUAGCGUAUAUUAAAAUUGUUGCAGUUAAAAAGCUCGUAGUUGAAUUUCUGCUGUAUUGCAUUUUCUCUUUUUAUAUGAGUUUUUGCAUUAUGGCUUAUUUCAGUAUUAAUUUUUUAUUAUUACUGAAUGUUUACUUUGAGAAAAUUAGAGUGCUCAAAGCAGGCUUUUGCCUUGAAUAGUUUAGCAUGGAAUAAUAAAGUAGGACUUUGGUUCUAUUUUGUUGGUUUUAGGUACCAAAGUAAUGGUUAAUAGGAACAGUUGGGGGCAUACGUAUUUAACUGUCAGAAGGUGAAAUUCUUAGAC